UGCAAGGUGCCACAAAAGGUAUUUACAGG
This 29-nucleotide non-coding RNA is filed under the name Mus musculus (house mouse). Lineage: Eukaryota; Metazoa; Chordata; Mammalia; Rodentia; Muridae. The record is from RNAcentral.